CAAUCCAUCCGGACAAGAAAGAGAGGAAAGAGAGGAAAGAAAAGAAGGACAAGAAAGAGAUGAGGAGCGAAAGAGAAAAAGAGUGGAAGGAGAUGACGGAAGACCGAGUCAAGACCCGCUACCUUAUUUUGAUAUCCCCGACAUUUCUUUUUCCCCCCUUCCUCCUUCUUUUUCCCCCCUUCCUCCUUCUUUU
RNAcentral lists this non-coding RNA (193 nucleotides) under Polytomella parva. Lineage: Eukaryota; Viridiplantae; Chlorophyta; Chlorophyceae; Chlamydomonadales; Chlamydomonadaceae. The record is from RNAcentral.